CUACACAGCGAUGUGAUGCUAAUCUCCAAACCAUGUCUCAGUUCGGAUCGGAGUCUGCAACUCGACUCCGUGAAGCUGGAUUCGCUAGUAAUCGCGCAUCAGCCAUGGCGCGGUGAAUACGUUCCCGGGCCUUGUACACACCGCCCGUCAAGCCAUGGGAGCCGGGGGUACCUGAAGUCCGUAACCGCGAGGAUCGGCCUAGGGUAAAACUGGUGACUGGGGCUAAGUCGUAACAAGGUACC
This 242-nucleotide ribosomal RNA is filed under the name uncultured bacterium. RNAcentral describes it as "partial 16S ribosomal RNA". It matches the Rfam family "Bacterial small subunit ribosomal RNA", at positions 1250 to 1500 of the family's 1533-position model. The record is from RNAcentral.